UUGAGCCAGUUCUAUGAUGGAGUGCUACACCCAGCAAAGGACAUGGACCAAGAGAGAGACAGAAUACCUGAAAAGAGGGACUCCAGGAGUUCCUGGGACCCUGGCAAUAAGAAAUCUGAAGAACAGAGGUGUUGGGGGCAGGAAGAUAGUCAGAAAGGUCCUCAACGAGGCUUCCUCAUACAGUGGACAAUACUGAGAGGGUAUGGAGCACUGUUGAAUUCAGAGGACUGCUUUGUGCUAACUCAGCAAGGAAAAUAUGUUCCAGAAACGGAACAUCAAUGUUUACAUUGUAAUAAUCCAAAUGCUGUCUGCUGAUGUGAGAAGAUGUUUGGACAUCUGACAGAAUCAUGAAGAACAUUACCAAUGGCCAGCACUCCCCUAAGAUGUACCCAGUGGAGCUGGGAAGAGGAUGCAAACUCAAGCCCACUUUACCUCCCACUUCCAGUGGAGAACAUGAUCAUAAAAAGGAAUAAGCAGUUACUAUCAGUGUUUGUCCCUUCCAUUAGAGGCUGAAAUCACAGAUCUUGGCUGAGGAAUACAGUAGGCUGCAU
Molecule: long non-coding RNA, 551 nt
Filed under: Mus caroli (Ryukyu mouse)
Lineage: Eukaryota; Metazoa; Chordata; Mammalia; Rodentia; Muridae
Description: lncRNA (MGP_CAROLIEiJ_G0006822.1)
Source: RNAcentral